RNAcentral lists this long non-coding RNA (729 nucleotides) under Marmota monax (woodchuck). The record is from RNAcentral. Lineage: Eukaryota; Metazoa; Chordata; Mammalia; Rodentia; Sciuridae.
UGUCCCCAAGGAUGAAGCUCUCAAGACCAAAUUGAACGCGUCUUGGUGGAAACCAAGGUCUGCCAGAGCCAUCUUAGCCAGGAUGAAACACGCAACACCUGAAGGACUAAGUCAAGGACACUCUGCUGGGUGAGACAAGGUGUCUGGCUCGAAGGAGCAGGGGGCAUGUGGAACAAGUCACUCAGAGGGUGCUUUGCCUCAACUCUGGGUUUAUGAAGAUUGUGUAGGAAGAGUGUGGUGGAAUGCUCAGAUUUCCUUUUUGCCUUUAAGUUGGUGAGUCAGAAGGAAAAGGUUAGUGGGCAGUUGAUACUGAGUAGACACAGGAACAGCUUCCUCUUGCUCCCGGAGUUGAAUGACUUUGUCCCUGAGAUGUUAGCAUGGUGGACCGUAGAGUCUUUAGGACCCCUAUCCUCCUCUAGGCUGGGACUAGUAUGUUAAAUUGUGGAGGGCACUAGCCUUGGAUGCUGAAUUUAAAGGGUGCCCUCAACCUGGAAAUCAAGAUAAAUAAAAUUUUAAUGAAAUAUUUAAAGAUUAAACAAUUAUGCCAAACAACAAUGAACAAGUUAUCAACAUUUUAAAGAGGGACAGGAUCCCGCCUUGGUCCUAAUCCUGACCCUGACUGUCCACACAGGGAGAUGUUUGAGUGGUUAGGACCCAGUCUAUAAAUAACGGUCAGGCAGCCAGUGGCAACCCUGGGGACAUGGUGCAGGUCUUGCUGCCUGGAACUUU